This 468-nucleotide ribosomal RNA is filed under the name uncultured bacterium. RNAcentral's name for it is "partial 16S ribosomal RNA". It matches the Rfam family "Bacterial small subunit ribosomal RNA", at positions 28 to 507 of the family's 1533-position model. The record is from RNAcentral.
GACGAACGCUGGCGGCGUGCUUAACACAUGCAAGUCGAACGGACAGGCCCUGCUUUUGUGGGGUGCUCGAGUGGCGAACGGGUGAGUAACACGUGAGUAACCUGUCCUUGACUUUGGGAUAACUUCAGGAAACUGGGGCUAAUACCGGAUAGGAGCUCCUGCUGCAUGGUGGGGGUUGGAAAGUUUCGGCGGUUGGGGAUGGUCUCGAGGGUUAUGAGCUUGUUGGUGGGGUAGGGGAUUACCAAGGCUUCGACGGGUAGCCGGCCUGGGAGGGUGACCGGCAACAUUAGGACUAAGAUACGGUCCAGACUCAUACGGGAGGCAGCAGUGGGGAAUAUUGCACAAUGGCCGGGAGCCAGAUGCAGCAAUGCCGCGUGCUGGAUGACGGCCUUCGAGUUGUAAACCUCUUUCGCCUGUGACGUAGAGUGAGUGACGGUAAUGAGUAAAGAAGCACCGGCUAACUACGUG